CCCUUAGAUGUUCUGGGCUGCACGCGCGCUACACUGAAACGUUCAACGAGUAUUCACCUUGCCCGGGAGGGUUGGGUAAUCUUUUGAAAACGCUUCGUGAUGGGGAUAGAUUAUCGCAAUUUUUGAUCUUCAGCGAGGAAUUCCUAGUAAAUGCGAGUCAUCAUCUCGCGUUGAUUACGUCCCUGCCCUUUGUACACACCGCCCGUCGCACCUACCGAUUGAAUGGUCCGGUGAAGCCUCCGGAUUGCGUGGCUUCGGCUGUCGCGAGAAGUUGGCUAAACCUUACCAUUUAGAGGAAGGUGAAGUCGUAACA
RNAcentral lists this ribosomal RNA (313 nucleotides) under uncultured eukaryote. RNAcentral describes it as "partial 18S ribosomal RNA". It matches the Rfam family "Eukaryotic small subunit ribosomal RNA", at positions 1470 to 1796 of the family's 1831-position model. The record is from RNAcentral.